UCAGAGAACUCUUCUUGUGCAAACCUCGGG
Molecule: non-coding RNA, 30 nt
Filed under: Rattus norvegicus (Norway rat)
Lineage: Eukaryota; Metazoa; Chordata; Mammalia; Rodentia; Muridae
Source: RNAcentral